Long non-coding RNA from Pecten maximus, 457 nucleotides. RefSeq lists it as uncharacterized. The transcript is spliced from 2 exons. The record is from RefSeq and is a predicted model, not a curated record. NCBI's taxonomy places the organism in Eukaryota, Metazoa, Mollusca, Bivalvia, Pectinida, Pectinidae.
UUUCCGGUUGAAGUCAGGUGCGUAUUAUCAUUGCUGAUAACUGUUUAAAGUCUGAAUCAUUUGUACGUUUGUAAUAAGGGCCCGUGUAAGUCAGUACGCUUCAAGCGUUUGAAUAACAGUCUGUAUCAUUUGUACGUUUGUAAUAAGGGCCCGUGCAAAUCAAAAUCGGAGACCCCAAGGGAAUGUUCAGUUUUUCAGCGGACAGAUGGGCAUGAGGUCAUCCCAGUUUCCCUUGAUUUGCAUGAGGACCAAGCUGAGCAUGAGGGGGAGGAAGAGGUAGAUGAGGAAGAUCUUCAGGAAGGGGCAACAUUCACGCCAGAUUCCCAGUCUGAUGAUGAGGAUGAGGAUCUCUCCAGGAGAGACCUUCUUGCUCUCCAGCAAAAGUCAUACAGACUUUUCAUUGAAAACUUAAGAAACUAGUUGAAUAUGGAAUAACAAAUACAAAAACUGAAAUGAG